AGAGAUUGAAACACGCUUUACGUACCUAAAAAUACCCUAAAAAUCCCAAAAUCAGUGUUAAAAACCUUUUCUAGCCAAUUUUAAAAUUCCAACACGGUGGCACCGCCAUGCUCUGAUGACGGCACCGCCGCCCACAGUGGCAGUUUGCCUCGGAUUGGUUGUUUUUGGCUAAUUUUGGCUAGUUUUAUAUUAUCUAUGGGAGAAAACACAUUAGGGGAUCUCGGUUGGCGGAAAAAGUCAAAAAAUAAAACUUACCGGCGGCGGGAUUUUCU
This 272-nucleotide long non-coding RNA is filed under the name Carica papaya (papaya). Its description in RNAcentral is "long non-coding RNA (CPAP_LNC015522)". Lineage: Eukaryota; Viridiplantae; Streptophyta; Magnoliopsida; Brassicales; Caricaceae. The record is from RNAcentral.